Molecule: ribosomal RNA, 405 nt
Filed under: uncultured bacterium
Lineage: Bacteria
Description: partial 16S ribosomal RNA
Rfam family: Bacterial small subunit ribosomal RNA
Source: RNAcentral
GAUGAACGCUGGCGGCGUGCCUAAUACAUGCAAGUCGAGCGCUGGGGGGACGGGGGAGUAACACGUGGAUAACCUCCUAUAAGACUGGGAUAACGUGGGGAAACACGAGCUAAACCUGAUACUUGGAGAUCGAUGUUCGCUGCAUUAGCUGGUUGGUAAGGUAACGGCUAACCAAGGCAACGAUGCAUAGCCGACCUGAGAGGGUGAUCGGCCACACUGGAACGGAGACACGGUCCAGACUCCUACGGGAGGCAGCAGUAGGGAAUCUUCGGCAAUGGGCGAAAGCCUGACGGAGCAACGCCGCGUGAGUGAUGAAGGUCUUCGGAUCGUAAAACUCUGUUAUUAGGGAAGCGGUACCUAAUCAGAAAGCCACGGCUAACUACGUGCCAGCAGCCGCGGUAAUAC